UACGUAGGUGGCAAGCGUUGUCCGGAUUUAUUGGGUUUAAAGGGUGCGUAGGCGGCCCUGUAAGUCAGUGCUGAAAUAUCCCAGCUUAACUGGGAGGGUGGCAUUGAUACUGCGGGGCUAGAGUACAGAUGAGGUAGGCGGAAUUGACGGUGUAGCGGUGAAAUGCUUAGAUAUCGUCAAGAACACCUAUGGCGAAGGCAGCUUACUAGGCUGUAACUGACGCUGAGGCACGAAAGUGUGGGGAUCAAACAGG
Molecule: ribosomal RNA, 253 nt
Filed under: uncultured bacterium
Lineage: Bacteria
Description: partial 16S ribosomal RNA
Rfam family: Bacterial small subunit ribosomal RNA
Source: RNAcentral